RNAcentral lists this unclassified non-coding RNA (608 nucleotides) under Hevea brasiliensis (rubber tree). Lineage: Eukaryota; Viridiplantae; Streptophyta; Magnoliopsida; Malpighiales; Euphorbiaceae. The record is from RNAcentral.
CGCUCUCUUGCAUGCUUCAUGAUAUUACUUACACAAUCCAGGAGAAACGGAUCUCUUCCAAGGCCUGGACCAACAACAAGACAAUCAAACCUCUCUAUCCACUUCUCAACUUCAGCGAUCACUUUAGCUGAUAUGGAACUUUUCUCCUCGUCCCUGAUACUGUAGGACUCUUCUAAAAUAGGGUGCACAAUUAACUCAGGACUGUAGCUUUUUAUUACAGGAGCAGCAUCUUUAGUACAGAAUACAUGAGAUAAAUCUGCACCAAUCUUUAAGGCUGAAAUUGCAGAGAAGUAUGGUGCACCAGUGUAUUCUCGACAGCCACCAACAACAGCUAUCUUACCCGCUUGGCCUUUAUGUUUAGUUGAUUCAAGACCCGGAAUUAUUGAUCUCAAAAUGCUGACAGAGUCGGCCUCCAAGCUUGGCCCACUACUCAUUACAGAUUGCAUUCUAAUACUCUGAAAAUUGAAGUUUUUCUUCUUAGUAGAACCUCCCAAACACCUUAUCAAAAACUGCUGCCUCCUGCUGACAGCCGCAGAGUAAGCCAGCUUUAAUUUAUCUCUGAUGAAUUAUCGGAGGGGAUGAAGAUGACCAAUUUUUCUACACUUCAG